Molecule: RNase P RNA, 348 nt
Filed under: human gut metagenome
Description: Bacterial RNase P class A
Rfam family: Bacterial RNase P class A
About the family: Ribonuclease P (RNase P) is a ubiquitous endoribonuclease, found in archaea, bacteria and eukarya as well as chloroplasts and mitochondria.
Source: RNAcentral
UCGCCGGGCAUCCGUUCAUCGGAUGUCAGGAGGAAAGUCCGGGCAACACAGAGCAUCGCGCUUCCUAACGGAAAGCCGGCGGCGACGUCGGGGCGAUAUGUGACAGAAAAUAACCGCCGCGUUUUGCGGUAAGGGUGAAAAGGUGGGGUAAGAGCCCACCGGCUCCGCUGGCGACAGCGGGGGUCCGCACAUCCCGCGAGUUGCAAGGCCAAAUAUACCGGCAGCUAAGGAUUGCUCGUCCAUUGCCGAGGGGUAGGCUGCUAAAGCCGUCGGGCAACCGACGCGCUUAGAUAAAUGACAGACACCCGGGCAUUCUCGUCCGGGCACAUAACCCGGCUUACAUCAUCU